RNAcentral lists this ribosomal RNA (301 nucleotides) under uncultured bacterium. RNAcentral describes it as "partial 16S ribosomal RNA". It matches the Rfam family "Bacterial small subunit ribosomal RNA", at positions 509 to 807 of the family's 1533-position model. The record is from RNAcentral.
CAGUCGCCGCGGGAAUACGUAGGGGGCGAGCGUUGUCCGAAGUUACUGGGCGUAAAGAGCGCGUAGGCUGGUCUUUAAGUGAGUGGUGAAAGGUUCGGGCUCAACCCGGACACUGCCUUUCAUACUGGGGACCUUGAGUGUGGGAGAGGCGAGUGGAAUGGUCGGUGUAGCGGUGAAAUGCGUAGAUAUCGAUCGGAACACCCAUGGCGAAGGCAGCUCGCUGGCCUAACACUGACGCUGAGGCGCGAAAGCGUGGGGAGCGAACAGGAUUAGAUACCCGAGUAGUCCCUGUCUCUUAUAC